RNAcentral lists this small RNA (191 nucleotides) under Vibrio gallaecicus. RNAcentral describes it as "MicX Vibrio cholerae sRNA". It matches the Rfam family "MicX Vibrio cholerae sRNA". Lineage: Bacteria; Pseudomonadati; Pseudomonadota; Gammaproteobacteria; Vibrionales; Vibrionaceae. The record is from RNAcentral.
AUAAUAAUAAGAGCGACCACAUAGGUCGCUCUUAAUUGGCAUUCUUAUUACACUAUUUGGUUUGGCCGCUGAUCAGUAAUAAGAGUAACUCUAGUGUUACGCAUAGCUAGCUAUUAAUGAGGUUCCUUACGCCGUUAACCAUUAAUAGUGAUUUGUAACCAGAACCUGAGCAUAUGCUUGGGUUUUUUUAU